UUUCUUUUCUCGGUCCUUAAA
This 21-nucleotide non-coding RNA is filed under the name Rattus norvegicus (Norway rat). Lineage: Eukaryota; Metazoa; Chordata; Mammalia; Rodentia; Muridae. The record is from RNAcentral.